Molecule: long non-coding RNA, 1103 nt
Filed under: Homo sapiens (human)
Lineage: Eukaryota; Metazoa; Chordata; Mammalia; Primates; Hominidae
Description: HSALNT0314411
Source: RNAcentral
CAUGAGGCUCAGACUCCAGCCUGAAGCCCCUCUGGCCCAGGGAGUGACUGCAAAGUCAGCAGCACAUGGGCCAGGGCUGGCCAGCCUCUCAGCUCCACGCACCCAGACAGAAGCAUCCACAUCUGCACUCUUCAUAGCAGAGACCUCUCCCUGUUCAGGUUCUGCAUACAGAAGAGACGCCCAGAAAUAGGACUUUAAACAUGGCAUCCCUUUCCUGUGUAGCCUUCAUGGUUUCUGAUGAAAAAUGAGCUGCUAAUCUUAUUGAGAAUCCCUUGUACGUGAUGAGUAGCUCCUCUCUUGCUGCUUUCAAGAUUCUCCAUUUGUCUUUGAGUAUUGACAGUUUGACUAUAAUGUGUGUUGGCAUGAACUGAGCUUUUUGAAUGUGUAUUAUUAUGUCUUUCAUCAGAUUUGGGAAGUUUUCAGCCGUUGUUUCUUCAAAUAUUCUUUUAUGUCCCUUUCUUUCCCUCUCUUCUCCUUCUGGGACUCUAAUGCUGUGUAUGUUAUGCUUGAUGGUGUCCCACAGGUAUCUCAGCCUCUAUUCACAUUUUUCAUAUUUUUUCUUUAUAUUAUUCAAACAAUAAUUUUUAUUGCCUUAUCUUCAAGUUAUGGGUUGAACUGUGUCCCUCUGAAAUUUAUAUGUUGAAAUUCUAAACCCCAGCACCUCACCAUAUCACUUUUUUGGAUAUAAGAUCAUUGCAAAUUAGUUAAGAUGAGGUCACACUGGAGUAGGAAUGGUCCCCUAAUAUAAUAUGACUCGUGUCCUUGUAAGAAGGGAAAAUUUUGGAUGUAGACACAAACUUAGGGAGAAUGCUGUUUAAAGAUAAAGACAGAGAACUGCAAGCCACAGAAUGCCAAAUAAUGCUAGCAAACCACCAGAAGGUAAGAGAGAAGGAUGGAACAGGUUCUGUCUCACAGCUCUCAGAGGGAACCAACCCUGCCAUUUUGGACAUAUAGCCUCCAGAACUGUGAACCAAUAAAUUUCUGCUGUUUAAGCUACUGAAUGUGUUUGUGUUCAUUAUGGCAGUCCUAGCAAACUAAUUCUAUGCUUUGUUUUUGGUUUUGUCUUACUGAGAACUGUACAUUCUGAGUACUGUAAUGUGGAA